This 285-nucleotide ribosomal RNA is filed under the name uncultured Parabacteroides sp. Its description in RNAcentral is "partial 16S ribosomal RNA". It matches the Rfam family "Bacterial small subunit ribosomal RNA", at positions 58 to 339 of the family's 1533-position model. The record is from RNAcentral. Lineage: Bacteria; Pseudomonadati; Bacteroidota; Bacteroidia; Bacteroidales; Tannerellaceae.
CAAGUCGAGGGGCAGCGGGGGUAGCGAUACCCGCCGGCGACCGGCGCACGGGUGAGUAACGCGUAUGCAACUUGCCUAUCAGAGGGGGAUAACCCGGCGAAAGUCGGACUAAUACCGCAUGAAGCAGGGGCCCCGCAUGGGAAUAUUUGUUAAAGAUUCAUCGCUGAUAGAUAGGCAUGCGUUCCAUUAGGCAGUUGGCGGGGUAACGGCCCACCUAGUCUUCGAUGGAUAGGGGUUCUGAGAGGAAGGUCCCCCACAUUGGAACUGAGACACGGUCCAAACUCC